RNAcentral lists this ribosomal RNA (277 nucleotides) under uncultured bacterium. RNAcentral describes it as "partial 16S ribosomal RNA". It matches the Rfam family "Bacterial small subunit ribosomal RNA", at positions 1 to 234 of the family's 1533-position model. The record is from RNAcentral.
CUUUUCGUCUCACGAUGCACCUAGAUUANUUAUUGAUCCUGGCUCAGAGUGAACCGCUGGCGGUAGGCCUAACACAUGCAAGUCGAACGGCAGCACAGGAGAGCUUGCUCUCAUGUGGUGGCGAGUGGCGAGACGGGUGAGGAAUACAUCGGAAUCUACUCUGUCGUGGGGGAUAACGUAGGAAACUUUAACGCUAAUACCGAUUACNAACUACGGUGAAAAGCAAGGGCAUCCUUCAGACCUUUCCNCAAUUGAAUUGAAGCCCGAAAGAUUGAAU